AUGAAAGGAGGCAAGGCGAUGAGCCCUGAUUGUAUCCCCAUUGAGGUGUGGAAAGGUCUCGGGGACAUCGCGAUAGUAUGGCUAACCAAGCUUUUCAACCUCAUUUUUCGGGCAAACAAGAUGCCAGAAGAAUGGAGACGGAGUAUAUUAGUAUCAAUCUUCAAGAACAAGGGGGAUGUUCAGAGUUGUAAUAAUUACCGUGGAAUAAAGCUGAUGAGCCAUACAAUGAAGCUAUGGGAGAGAGUCAUUGAGCACCGCUUAAGAAGAAUGACAAGCGUGACCAAAAAUCAGUUUGGUUUCAUGCCUGGGAGGUCGACCAUGGAAGCCAUUUUCUUGGUACGACAACUUAUGGAGAGAUAUAAGGAGCAAAAGAAGGACUUGCAUAUGGUGUUCAUUGACUUGGAGAAGGCCUAUGAUAAGAUACCGCGGAAUGUCAUGUGGUGGGCCUUGGAGAAACACAAAGUCCCAGCAAAGUACAUUACCCUCAUCAGGGACAUGUACAAUAAUGUUGUGACAAGUGUUCGAACAAGUGAUGUCGACACCGAUGACUUCCCGAUUAAGAUAGGACUGCAUCAGGGGUCAGCUUUGAGCCCUUAUCUUUUUGCAUUGGUGAUGGAUGAGGUCACAAGGGGUAUACAAGGAGAUAUCCCAUGGUGUAUGCUCUUUGCGGAUGAUGUGGUGCUAGUUGACGAUAGUCGGACGGGGGUAAAUAGGAAGUUAGAGUUAUGGAGACAAACCUUGGAAUAG
This 747-nucleotide ribosomal RNA is filed under the name Triticum aestivum (bread wheat). Its description in RNAcentral is "partial small subunit ribosomal RNA". Lineage: Eukaryota; Viridiplantae; Streptophyta; Magnoliopsida; Poales; Poaceae. The record is from RNAcentral.